GGAGUGCCUUGUAAAAGAGAGCCGCAGUGAAGAGGCCCAAGCGACUGUUUAACUAAAACACAGCUCUCUGCAAAGUCGCAAGACGAAGUAUAGGGGGUGACGCCUGCCCGGUGCUGGAAGGUUAAGAGGAUUUGUCAUCCGCAAGGAGAAGCAAUGAAUUGAAGCCCCAGUGAACGGCGGCCGUAACUAUAACGGUCCUAAGGUAGCGAAAUUCCUUGUCAGGUAAGUUCUGACCCGCACGAAAGGCGUAACGAUUUGGGCGCUGUCUCGGCAGCAGACUCGGUGAAAUCUUAGUACCUGUGAAAAUGCAGGUUACCCGCAACUAGACGGAAAGACCCCAUGGAGCUUUACUGUAGCCUGAUAUUGAAUUUUGAUCAAAGAUGUACAGGAUAGGUGGGAGGCGAAGAGACGUGUACGCCAGUAUACGAGGAGCCGCUGUUGGGAUACCACUCUUGUUUGAUUGAAGUUCUAACCUGCACCCAUGAACUGGGUGAGGGACCGUGUCAGGUGGGCAGUUUGACUGGGGCGGUCGCCUCCUAAAGAGUAACGGAGGCGCCCAAAGGUACGCUCAGAUUGGAUGGAAAUCAAUCGACGAGUGCAAAUGCAGAAGCGUGCUUGACUGUGAGACAAACAAGUCGAACAGGGACGAAAGUCGGGAUUAGUGAUCCGGCGGUGCCGAAUGGAAGGGCCGUCGCUCAACGGAUAAAAGCUACCCUGGGGAUAACAGGCUGAUCUCGCCCAAGAGUUCACAUCGACGGCGAGGUUUGGCACCUCGAUGUCGGCUCAUCGCAUCCUGGAGCUGAAUUCGGUUCCAAGGGUUGGGCUGUCCGCCCAUUAAAGCGGUACGCGAGCUGGGUUCAGAACGUCGUGAGACAGUUCGGUCCCUAUCUGUUGUGGGCGUUGGAGAUCUGAGGAGAGCUGUCCUUAGUACGAGAGGACCGGGAUGGACCUACCGCUGGUGCACCAGUUGUUCCGCCAGGAGCAUAGCUGGGUAGCUAAGUAGGGAAGGGAUAAGCGCUGAAAGCAUCUAAGCGCGAAGCCUACUCCAAGAUGAGAUCUCCCAUUCGUAUAACGAAGUAAGACCCCUUGAAGACGACGAGGUGGAUAGGUCAGAGAUGGAAGUGUAGCGAUACAUGGAGUUGACUGAUACUAAUAGGUCGAGGACUUAAUCAC
RNAcentral lists this ribosomal RNA (1173 nucleotides) under human gut metagenome. RNAcentral's name for it is "bacterial LSU rRNA". It matches the Rfam family "Bacterial large subunit ribosomal RNA", at positions 1745 to 2925 of the family's 2925-position model. The record is from RNAcentral.